CACGUAGUUAGCCGGCGCUUCUUCUGCAGGUACCGUCACUCUCGCUUCUUCCCUACUGAAAGAGGUUUACAACCCGAAGGCCGUCAUCCCUCACGCGGCGUCGCUGCAUCAGGCUUUCGCCCAUUGUGCAAUAUUCCCCACUGCUGCCUCCCGUACGGAGUCUGGGCCGUGUCUCAGUCCCAGUGUGGCCGGUCGCCCUCUCAGGCCGGCUACCCGUCAUCGUCUUGGUGAGCCAUUACCUCACCAACAAACUGAUAGGCCGCGAGUCCAUCCUUCACCGAUAAAUCUUUCCAACCCCACCAUGCGACAAGGGUUCAUAUCCGGUAUUAGCCACGAUUUCCCGAGGUUAUCCCGAAGUGAAGGGCAGGUUACUCACGUGUUACUCACCCGUUCGCCACUAAUCAGACCGUGCAAGCACGGUCGUCAUCGUUCGACUUGCAUGUGUUAAGCACGCCGCCAGCCGUGUCCUCGUAGCCAGGACUCGAAACGUACG
This 493-nucleotide ribosomal RNA is filed under the name uncultured Brachybacterium sp. RNAcentral's name for it is "partial 16S ribosomal RNA". Lineage: Bacteria; Bacillati; Actinomycetota; Actinomycetes; Micrococcales; Dermabacteraceae. The record is from RNAcentral.